This is a long non-coding RNA of Acanthochromis polyacanthus (spiny chromis), 2431 nucleotides long. RefSeq lists it as uncharacterized. Lineage: Eukaryota; Metazoa; Chordata; Actinopteri; Pomacentridae. The record is from RefSeq and is a predicted model, not a curated record. The transcript is spliced from 3 exons.
GAGGAAGUGUGUGUGUUUUUUUUAAUGAGGAAGGCUUUCAGUGACGAGGAGAGGAGGGCAGGGCGUGCGCACCGUCUGAACAGUGUCACUUUGCGUGUGUUUGGGGAAGCUGUUCGCGCACGGAUAGAGCAGUUAGUUAGACGUGAACUGAUGAACUGUGCGUAAAAAGCAGCGCGGUUCGGAGCUGCAGCCCUGCCGGGGAGGAGGGGUAGGAGAGGCAGGAGGAUCCCGGCCUGGCCUCUCGGUAGGGGAGGGCACAAGAGGAAAUGACUGGCUUAAUAUUGAUCAGGAAUACGCCGGAGAGGCGGAUCGAUAACGCAGGACUGCAUGUAGCCGUCACAAAUGUGUUACUGUGGCGCACGACAGGUUUAAUUCUUUAACUUGUUGCCCUCAGUUUCUCUAUGAUGUACUGCUACUACAAAAACUAUUUAAAAAAAUCUUUUUACACAAGUCUUCUUGCGUAAAACAGUUUUUAACAAGAUUUUCUCAAUUUUGUUAAAUUAGCCUAUGGAUGAUAACUAGUAAAAUUACAAAAAAUGCUUUUACUUGGCAUGUUUUUUUUUUACUCAGUGUUGUUUUUUUUACUUCAAAUGUGUAUUACACUUAUUGUGCAUUUUGCAUUUUAUAUAUUUUUUAUUUUUACUUAUUUAUUUAUUUAUUUUACUUAAUUAUCUGUAUUUGUGGUGGUAACUGUACUAUUUUUGCUAUAACAACAGAAUUACCUCUCAGGAACAGUGGCGGAUCUUCUGUGGGGACACGGGGGUGGGGGGUAGUGGCCCCCCCUGUGAUCUGAUUGGCCACCCUGUGCGCUCCCGCCCCCAAAAAAUUUUUCGUUGGAAAUCCACAUUACUGAUCCUCCGAUUUCCGAUUCUCCUGAACGCAAUUUCGUUGUCCAACUGCACUUGAAUGCACCAGUUUGAUCUUUUGAUUGUAUUUGGAUUUGAAGAAGCUUUGAAGACAUUUCCUGAUGCCAGAGGAGAACACGAGCAGCUUUGGACCUUUGUGGUAAGAAGACUGUGGCCGUUUCUCAGUACGUAACUGUCCUUACUUGCGUUCUCACGUAGUUGUGAAACGUCAUCAUGGAGACUGAAUCAGAUCAGACUAGUGUGCAUGGAUGUGAAUUACUAGAUAAAUAUAUACAUCUAUGGCUGCAGCUCCCAUAGAUAUGAAUAAGUAGAUAGGACACCCCCUUUUGAGCUGUGUGCCUACAGCUAAGCUAGUGGGGGCAAAGUUUCAGUGCAUUCCCUUAAUGUAGAUGACAUGAAAACAGAAACAAGUAUGCAGUCUCAUUGUGCUGCAUACAGUUGCACACUACAUCAUACGAUGGAGACAAGGAAACUUGGAAUGACUUUUCAUAGGUUUCCCAGAGACUUUGGGCUGAGGAGGAGCUCUGAGGAGAGAGAGGUUUGCUGCAAAUGAUGAGUGGAUGCUCUGCAGUGAUUAUUAUGAACCUGAUGAGUCUGACAGGUGUUAAGGAAAAAUCACUCACUUUAUCAAGACUGAGGUGUCCCCUCAGCUGUUAGUUUAUGACAUUCUAAAUGUCGGUGUGUCUGCAAACUGCAGUCACCCUGAAAUCAAAUGUAGGUACCAAGUCAUCCCAAAUUCUGUAAAUCUGUUUAUGCUCACUCCGUCCCUAAUAUGACCCUGAGACAGACAGACGCUUAGAAAAGAUAACAUAGGAAUGAAACGCAACUGUUUGGCUGACAAGGUAAGAAUGACAAAGUUCUAUUGUUGUAUUCCUGUCCAGAUGGAUCCUGCACUAACAGUCCUGCUACCAUAUUUAGAGUCUAACCUAAACAUGGCAUGCCUCCCAACCAGUAUAUAUGCCAAAGCCAGAGAGACUCCUCAGAAGUGAUGCUGCCAGUGCUCACAUCACUGUCACUCACUGUAUCAUUUCUCCUGAUUUCAGUAAACCUUCUUCUAAACAUAAGCCAUCUGUCUCCAGACUGUCUCCGAGUUUGCCUCCUGAUUCUUCUUUUGACAUCGCAGAAUUCCCGAACAAAUUGGCGUCAGGAGAGCAGGAUCUCCACACAACAAAGACUGGGUUGCGUGGGGGUGCUGGAGCCUAUCCCAGCUGACUCGGGCGAAGGCAGGGGACACCCUGGACAGGUCGCCGGUCUGUCGCAGGGCUACAUAUACAGACAAACAAUCACACUCACAGGCAAUUUAGAAUAACCACUUAACCUCAGCAUGUUUUUGGACUGUGGGAGGAAGCCGGAGUACCCGGAGAAAACUCACGCAUGCACAGGGAGAACAUGCGAACUCCAUGCAGAAAGAUCCCAGGCCCACCCUGGGAUUUGAACCAGGGAUCUUCUUGCUGCAAGGCAAAAGUGCUAACCACCGACCUGGUGGAAAGUUGAGAAACUUGGGAAAAUUCGUCAAGACUCGGAUUUUCGAAAAACUCGUUGGCUGGGGGAAGGCGUGGUGGGCG